UCCCUCUCUUUUCCUCUUUUGCGACUCCGAUACCAAUUCAUCUAUUCAUCAAAUUACCCCCCUUCUCUUUCACUCUCUCUCGCCCCAUGGAAACCCUACCCUCGAGCUACAAGGAGAACGACGAGGACGAGGAGCCAAUGUGGAGCGACGCCCUCGACCCCAUCCCAUCUCCUCCUUCUCCUCCUCCCUCCGCCGCCGCCGCCGCCGCCGCCGCCGAUGCCCCUCCUCUCCCCGCUCCUCCCUCCGCCUCCGCCUCGGCCUCGAAGAAGCCGAAGAAGAAGAGCAACAACGUGUGGACCAAGUCCACCUCCCGNCCCGAACCCCAAUCCAACGGCCACGCCUACCCAGCCGGCGCCGACGAUCCUCCCCCGCCGUCCGAUGACGACGCCGACGACCCCGACGACGACGACGACGACGACGACUCCGCCCCGGCGAGGAAGAAGCAGAAGCCCCUCUCCGCCUUCGCCUCCGCCGCCGCCGCCGCAGCCCCUCCUCUCCCCGCUCCUCCCUCCGCCUCCGCCUCGGCCUCGAAGAAGCCGAAGAAGAAGAGCAACAACGUGUGGACCAAGUCCACCUCCCGCAAGGGCAAGAAGAAGUCCAAGCCCUCCCCCCACGCCCCCGCCCCGGAGGACACCGUCCUCAUGACCCCGAUGCCCCGCGGCUUCCCUGACCGCUCCG
This 678-nucleotide long non-coding RNA is filed under the name Ananas comosus (pineapple). RNAcentral's name for it is "long non-coding RNA (ACOM_LNC018956)". The record is from RNAcentral. Lineage: Eukaryota; Viridiplantae; Streptophyta; Magnoliopsida; Poales; Bromeliaceae.